RNAcentral lists this ribosomal RNA (381 nucleotides) under Triticum aestivum (bread wheat). RNAcentral describes it as "partial small subunit ribosomal RNA". The record is from RNAcentral. Lineage: Eukaryota; Viridiplantae; Streptophyta; Magnoliopsida; Poales; Poaceae.
AUGGAUCAAAGGGAUCAAAGUAUCUUGCGACAUUUCUUGUUUGCUGCAGGGAGGAAGUUUCUAUUACCAAACGCCAGCAGCUCCAUAUGCAGGAAGUAUGACGAGAAGUGUAAACAACUGAGAGACCAGGAGUCGCGAGGGAAAAAGGAAAUCAUCAUCGAUUUUACCCGUGCUGCAGUAAAAGACUUGCGCUCCAGAAUCCUAGUGGCCAUUCAGAAAAUAGAUUUCAUUUUGGCGAGCAUAGAAGAUCGAAGGGAUAAAGAGCUUCAAGCACAUCCGGAUGAGCUAAUUGAAAGUUUCUCCGUGAUGUGGGAAACCAUGCUCCAGUGCCGUCGGCGCCAACACGCGAUCAUCAAGUCACUAUCAGCGGCUGCAAACUAG